ACUCUCGGCAACGGAUAUCUAGGCUCUCGCAUCGAUGAAGAACGUAGCGAAAUGCGAUACUUGGUGUGAAUUGCAGAAUCCCGUGAACCAUCGAGUUUUUGAACGCAAGUUGCGCCCGAAGCCUUUAGGCCGAGGGCACGCCUGCCUGGGCGUCACGCAUCGCG
Molecule: ribosomal RNA, 164 nt
Filed under: Phacelia ivesiana
Lineage: Eukaryota; Viridiplantae; Streptophyta; Magnoliopsida; Boraginales; Hydrophyllaceae
Description: 5.8S ribosomal RNA
Rfam family: 5.8S ribosomal RNA
About the family: 5.8S ribosomal RNA (5.8S rRNA) is a component of the large subunit of the eukaryotic ribosome. It is transcribed by RNA polymerase I as part of the 45S precursor that also contains 18S and 28S rRNA.
Source: RNAcentral